UAGGGAAUCUUCGGCAAUGGGGGGAACCCUGACCGAGCAACGCCGCGUGAGUGAAGAAGGUUUUCGGAUCGUAAAGCUCGGUUGUUAAGGAAGAACGAGUGUGAGAAUGGAAAGUUCAUGCUGUGACGGUACUUAACCAGAAAGGGACGGCUAACUACGUGCCAGCAGCCGCGGUAAUACGUAGGUCCCGAGCGUUGUCCGGAUUUAUUGGGCGUAAAGCGAGCGCAGGCGGUUAGAAAAGUCUGAAGUGAAAGGCAGUGGCUCAACCAUUGUAGGCUUUGGAAACUGUUUAACUUGAGUGCAGAAGGGGAGAGUGGAAUUCCAUGUGUAGCGGUGAAAUGCGUAGAUAUAUGGAGGAACACCGGUGGCGAAAGCGGCUCUCUGGUCUGUAACUGACGCUGAGGCUCGAAAGCGUGGGGAGCGAACAGG
RNAcentral lists this ribosomal RNA (429 nucleotides) under Verrucomicrobiota bacterium. RNAcentral's name for it is "Verrucomicrobia bacterium partial 16S ribosomal RNA". It matches the Rfam family "Bacterial small subunit ribosomal RNA", at positions 355 to 776 of the family's 1533-position model. The record is from RNAcentral. Lineage: Bacteria; Pseudomonadati; Verrucomicrobiota.